Molecule: ribosomal RNA, 478 nt
Filed under: uncultured bacterium
Lineage: Bacteria
Description: partial 16S ribosomal RNA
Rfam family: Bacterial small subunit ribosomal RNA
Source: RNAcentral
GACGAACGCUGGCGGCGUGCUUAACACAUGCAGGUCGAACGGUAAGGCCCUUCGGGGUACACGAGUGGCGAACGGGUGAGUAACACGUGGGUGAUCUGCCCUGCACUUCGGGAUAAGCCUGGGAAACUGGGUCUAAUACCGGAUAGGACCACUGCCUGCAUGGGUGGUGGUGGAAAGCUUUUGCGGUGUGGGAUGGGCCCGCGGCCUAUCAGCUUGUUGGUGGGGUGAUGGCCUACCAAGGCGACGACGGGUAGCCGGCCUGAGAGGGUGACCGGCCACACUGGGACUGAGAUACGGCUCAGACUCCUACGGGAGGCAGCAGUGGGGAAUAUUGCACAAUGGGCGCAAGCCUGAUGCAGCGACGCCGCGUGAGGGAUGACGGCCUUCGGGUUGUAAACCUCUUUCAGCUAUGACGAAGCGCAAGUGACGGUAGUAGCAGAAGAAGGACCGGCCAACUACGUGCCAGCAGCCGCCGCGG